UUUUUCCACAAAGUACAGGAAACACCCCAAAACACAACAUAUCCCCAUAUACAUCCCCUGCUAGCACUGAUCUGGGUGAACAACAUAUCCAAAAAUCACCCAGAUCAGAAGAGGGGUUCAGGAAAUUCCUGGAAGUCUCUUUUGACCGACCGCACACAUGAUCUCAGUUCCAGAGAAUCAGGGCUUGCGGCCGGACUAGUUUGUUAG
Pelobates cultripes (western spadefoot toad) is the source of this 207-nucleotide non-coding RNA. The record is from the annotation of a GenBank genome assembly. Lineage: Eukaryota; Metazoa; Chordata; Amphibia; Anura; Pelobatidae.